AUGCCUUUGCAGCUCUGGUUUGAAGUGUCUCUGCUGUGUCUGCAGACGUAUGAAUCAGAAAGCAGCUACAGCAGUGAGGAGAUGGAGCAGUUUCAGACCGAGGUGAAGCAGCUGCAGACUCAGAUGAAGCAGCUCAAGGUGAUGUUGAAGGAGAUGGAGCUCAGCAAGAAAAGUCUUGAAGAACAGCUGCAGAAGACUUCAGAGAAAGCUUGUCUGACUGUGGAGGAGAACGCCCGUCUGAAGAGCCGUCUGCAGGCAGCAGAGGCUGAGGUGGUACAGCGGCAGACCGGCGGUGCUGAGCAGGACUAUGAGGAGGUGAUCCAGCUGCUGGAGGCUGAAAUCGAAGACCUGAAGAACCAGCUGGCUGGUAGGAGACCGGGGCGUUUGCUGGACGCCACCAAGGAGAGCCCAAAGCAGGUGUGUGUGUGA
This 429-nucleotide long non-coding RNA is filed under the name Nothobranchius furzeri (turquoise killifish). RNAcentral describes it as "lncRNA (ENSNFUG00015005651.1)". Lineage: Eukaryota; Metazoa; Chordata; Actinopteri; Cyprinodontiformes; Nothobranchiidae. The record is from RNAcentral.